RNAcentral lists this ribosomal RNA (548 nucleotides) under uncultured bacterium. RNAcentral describes it as "bacterial SSU rRNA". It matches the Rfam family "Bacterial small subunit ribosomal RNA", at positions 355 to 896 of the family's 1533-position model. The record is from RNAcentral.
UGGGGAAUUUUGGACAAUGGGCGAAAGCCUGAUCCAGCAAUGCCGCGUGCAGGAUGAAGGCCUUCGGGUUGUAAACUGCUUUUGUACGGAACGAAACGGUUCGCCUUAAUACGGUGGGCUAAUGACGGUACCGUAAGAAUAAGCACCGGCUAACUACGUGCCAGCAGCCGCGGUAAUACGUAGGGUGCGAGCGUUAAUCGGAAUUACUGGGCGUAAAGCGUGCGCAGGCGGUUAUAUAAGACAGAUGUGAAAUCCCCGGGCUCAACCUGGGACCUGCAUUUGUGACUGUAUAGCUAGAGUACGGUAGAGGGGGAUGGAAUUCCGCGUGUAGCAGUGAAAUGCGUAGAUAUGCGGAGGAACACCGAUGGCGAAGGCAAUCCCCUGGACCUGUACUGACGCUCAUGCACGAAAGCGUGGGGAGCAAACAGGAUUAGAUACCCUGGUAGUCCACGCCCUAAACGAUGUCAACUGGUUGUUGGGUCUUCACUGACUCAGUAACGAAGCUAACGCGUGAAGUUGACCGCCUGGGGAGUACGGCCGCAAGGUUG